RNAcentral lists this transfer RNA (73 nucleotides) under Loxodonta africana (African savanna elephant). It matches the Rfam family "tRNA". Rfam says of the family: Transfer RNA (tRNA) molecules are approximately 80 nucleotides in length. Their secondary structure includes four short double-helical elements and three loops (D, anti-codon, and T loops). Further hydrogen bonds mediate the characteristic L-shaped molecular structure. tRNAs have two regions of fundamental functional importance: the anti-codon, which is responsible for specific mRNA codon recognition, and the 3' end, to which the tRNAs corresponding amino acid is attached (by aminoacyl-tRNA synthetases). tRNAs cope with the degeneracy of the genetic code in two manners: having more than one tRNA (with a specific anti-codon) for a particular amino acid; and 'wobble' base-pairing, i.e. permitting non-standard base-pairing at the 3rd anti-codon position. The record is from Rfam by way of RNAcentral. Lineage: Eukaryota; Metazoa; Chordata; Mammalia; Proboscidea; Elephantidae.
GCAAUGGUGGCUCAGUGGUAGAAUUCUCGCCUUCCAUAUGUGGAAGACCUGGAUUCAAAUCCCAGCCAGUGCA